ACUCCCCGGAGGCUGGACAGCAGCAGCAGGCCUGCAGGCAGCCGGUCUCUGACUUUCUCACAGACACCUGGAGACGGACUUCCUCAAGCUGACGCCAAGUGGCCUCAAGGACCCGCCUGGAUGGCAAGCGGAGCAAGCCAGGAUGUGAGGUUUGUCCCGGGACGCCCAGGUCUGAAAUGGACAGCCAGGCUCGGGGAGCUGGAAGAAAGGCCUCCUCUCUGGCACAGCAUUCCCUGGAGCGAGGCCCCAGAGGUUCCCAGCCCAGGAGGAAGUGAGCUGCCUGGGGCCCUGGCCUCCUACCAGACCUGAAAGGAGAGAAGUCAGCCUGGAAGCUUAUCAGACCCCAGCCAAGUUAAAGCCUGGCUCCAGGGAGGACCUGAGAGAAGCUGGACUUGGCUAGCCCCAGGCCAGCCCUACCCAAAUGCCUGGAGGCAGCAAACUCCCAGCACUAUCAAAAUACAGGUCGUAAAUAAAGCCUCCUUGGCAGCCAGCUCAGGGUUGGAAAUAGAGUCCCCCCAAAAUGACCUUUCCAGACUAAUGCUGGAACCGAAGGUCAAAAGAGCCUCCUAAAGUAACGAGGAAGAGGCUGGGGCUUGCCUGGCAUUGAGAUGGGCCUCACAUUUGGAUGGCCAACAGGUGGCCAUCUUUGCCUUCAGGAGGGCAGGGUGAACACCUGCCUCCCUCUCAGGCCCCUGCUCCCCUGUCUGCCAUCGUGGGAAGCAGCUGUAAGGUCCCACAGCAAUAGACGCCAGCCAGCACAGUCUUCCUGCCGCGAGGCCGUGAGCCAAAAUCCCCGUCUCCCCAUGAGUUCUUUCUCAGGUGACAUAGUAAACCUAAGUCACUGACACGCCCGGCCCCGCUGAGGGUUUAACACCGGCAUCCAGGACUGAGCGCUUCUGCCCUCCCUGCCUGACACCGCCUGAGGUCCCAAACACCCUAGAAAGCGGUGGAUCAAAGGCCAGCGCCUCCUCACUCCCACGUGGGGUCAGAAGGAGAACUGGCUCCGUCCUUGCCCUCUGAAGCAUCCAUCAGAUGAAUGCUGACGCAGCAGAGGCCAAGGGGACCUGAUUCCGCUCUACGGGCCUCCCAGUCUGAGGAGGGCAGACAACAGGACGGAUGGAUGAAUGGGCCUGUGGAGACCAAGGGCGGCACAGCUUCAAGGAGGCUGUCUGAGGCUGCCCUGCCUCAGCUGAGCAAGCACGCUGUGGAGACCUGAGGGAGGGUAGCCUGGGAGACAGAGGGCCAAGUUCACACAGGGCCGGGGUGCAUGAAUCGUGUCUUCUCACAGAAGCCUCCUGCUCCAUAGCUGGAUGAAUGGAUGCUGGAGGGGUGUGCUGCUUUCCCAGGGGUACCCAGUAUGGCUGAACUCUGUGCCCUGCUCUAACUAAAGUCAUACAAGGCUUUCACAAGAUCAAGCUGGCUAAAAUUCCAGCGCUCACCAAACCCCACCCUAGCCAGGGUGCUGGCAGUAUCACCCCUAGGCAGAGGGGCCUGGGCUGUCUGAGGAAGCCAGAGGCACAGGCAGGAAGUGUGCCAGCAAGCAGCAUUCAUCUGCGGUUUCUGCUCCAGUUCUGGCUUCAGCUCCUGCCCUCACUUUCCCCAGCGAUGAACUGUGACCUGGAAGUGUAAGCUGAGAUAAAUGCUUCCCUCCCCUCAGUUGCUUUUGCUCAUGAUAAUUAUCACAGCAACGGAAAAGCAAACUAGAAUGCAGUUUCAAACAAUAAAUAAAAAUACAUAUUUAAAAAUUAGGCAACCAGUUCGGCUCUGUGGCACACGCCUGUGAUCCCAGCACUUAGGAGGCGGAGGCAGAGGCAGAGGCAGGCAGAGUUCAAGGCCAGCUUGGUCUACAGAGUGAGUUCCAGAACAGCCAAGGUUACAGAGAGAAACCCUGUCUCAAAAAAACCAAACCUUCAGCUAUUUGAGUCAAAGUCAGCUCUAGAGUCUAUAUGAGGAACAACUUUUGAUGGACACAGUCUCAGCCUAGAAACCCAAGCAGAAAGGGAAGGCGACCUGAAUGCAGGUGGACACUGCCAUGCCCAGAGAUUUCCCCCAGGAUCAGGGCUUCCCUGGCCUGUCUCGUGACCCUUCCAGGGUUCCCACACUGAAAGAUGAGGCAGCAAGACUUCUACCAAGGAAGCAAUCUUACUGUCGUGUUCCAGGAUUCUACCAAGCUCCCAGUCACAAGACAGUUGGUGAAGGUCACUUCAGAUGGCCAUGAGGGGUCAGAGUUGCGAGCCAAUUGCCGGAAGCCUGGUCUACAGACCUGCAGGCCGAGCCCUUCACAGAGGAGCAGGAAAGCCAGGUGCUGCCACGGAAAACGCAAAUGACAGGUCUGGAAAGGUAGCGGCGCCGCCCCAUGCCCCACAGGCCCAGCACACAUUGGGGGCUCUGUGAGCUGCAGGCCCCAGCAGGGCAUGGUGAGAACGUCACCUAUCAGGCGCUUUAAGGGUCUCAGCUACAUAGACGAAGCCCUGGGUUCAGCUCCCAACCCGGCAUAAACCAGGCUUGGUGUUUCACCUCCAAUCCCAGCAUGUGGGAAGCAGAGGGGUCGGAGGUUCAAGACGGUGCUUUAACUACACAGUCAGGUCAAGACCAGCUCAGGACUCAUAAGUUGAUCAGGACUUAUUUACUAUUUUAAAUACUCUCUCUCUCUCUCUCUCUCUCUCUCUCUCUCACUCUGUGUGUGUGUGUGUGUGUGUGUGUGUGUGUGUGUGUGUGUGUGUGUGCAAGAGCAGCAAGUACUCUUAACCACUGAGCUAUCUCUCUACCUCCAAGGUCAGGGUCUUGAUUGGACCUGCAGGCUGGAGUUCAAGGCCAUCCUAACGCCCUUUGGACUGUGUGUGGACUUUUCGGGCGGCUUUGAUACAUCUAUUUCAGUCAAACCAAAUAAUGAUAAGCUAAUUUUUUUCAUCUGCGGCUUGGCCUCCUCUCUGUUUUUCUUCUUUCCUCCCCUGCCUCCCCCACACUUGUCUUCCACGUGUUAGCCCAUUUGUUCUAGGUGGGGUGUUCCUGUUUGUUUCAGCUUUCUGGCACAAGCACUUGGAACUGUCACAGACCAUGGAAACAGUCAGAACCUGUAUCAGAGGGUGCAGUGACAGGUGUCCACAGAGCGACCGACCAUUGUGUCUGACACUCAACUUCUCAGAGACGUGUGGGCAGGAGGUAGGUUGGGGGUGUGGACACCCAGCUGUGGACACCCCUGGCCAGUGGAGACAGGGGUGCGCUCCCAUCCUCACUCCUGUGGGUGACCUUAGCCGCCAGCACCUCUCCGCUGCUGCUUGCCGAGUGACAGAACCAGGCUCUCCCGUGAGCCACCCAUCCGGCUGGCAGCCCAGGUACAUCCUUCCUCCCCACCCACCUCGGGCAAGUGCUCUUGGCAGAGGUUUUCCUGCUCACUCUCCCGAGCACAGGGCCCGACCAGGUCUCCAAUGCUCUGCCAGCAGAGCAGGGUGGUGGGAUGGUGCUGCUGGGCUUGCGUGGCGAGCGUUGGUUUCGAGGGAGGUCUGAGGUGGUUCCCCAGGCUCUGUGAAGCCACCACGUAGCUGCAGGUGUGGUGCCGCUGGGUGGUUCCUGGCUGUGGUGUGACGAUGACAGUGUGCCACGGAGGGUUUCGGGUAGCUCGGGAUGCCUCCUCCCAGCUCCUCCGUGCACACAUUGAGGUUGCCAUCUCUCAUGGACUGUCCUGUUACACUCACUGACGAAGUGACACUAACUUCGGAGGGCAGGUGUUGCUUCCAUUUUUCACGUUAGUUUUCAAGAUGAGGUCUUUGAGGGUCGGAGAGAUGGCUCAGCAUGUAAGAGCACUGGCCGCCCCUGCGCAGGGCUGGAAUUCCAGUUCCCAGGGCUGUGUCACAUGGCUCCCUGCCCAUUACCCCAGCACCAGGGGCCUCUGCAGGACACACACAUGUACAAAUACACACACACACACACACACACACACACAAUUUAAAAAUAAAUCUUAAAAAAGAGACUCCAUCUUAAUCCUCAAAAGACAUCUUAUUCUUCACCUUUGACCCUCAGGGUGGUUUUCACAGAAACAGUGAGGGAGGUCCUGUGGAUAUCUAGGGUCACAGGUCAAGGCCAAUGCUUCAGCCUUCAAGAGCUCAUGAAGCCUGGGACACACUGCAUGGUCACAAUAAAGGCGAACCAGCCUCGCCUGCCACUGCCACCCGCUCAGUCAAACGCCCUGUUGCCAUGAUGAACUCCAGGAGCAUGAGCGUCCAGUCAGCACCGGGGAAUGUCACCUGACCAGUCACCAGCAUUCUUAACCGCACACACCACCAAAGCAGGCUUCCCUCAGAAUGCACCCUGCUCCUCUCCGAAAUGCAACGAUUGUUUUAAACCUACUCAAACAAAGCUUGAAAAGAGUUGGCUCCCAAGGUGGCCACUGGUGUCUGAGGAGCACAGAACCCCAUGGCCUCCUGCUCUGGUGAGACCCACUGCGAGCUCUGAGGCUAUCAAUGGCCCACGUUGGCAUUUUUAUCUCUGUAGUGAAAAGGGUAAUUUGGCUGGCUGCCUCAGUGAUGAGGAAAAUAGGAUUGCACUCCAAAGAAACAUGGCAUGGGCUUUGUUCUCUUACCCAGAAGUCUUUCCCAGGCACCAUGGAAGGCGCUGUCCCCAGGAGCCCCUACCACCCCUAAGCCAUUCACAGCCCAGCAGCUGGCAGAGCCAGCCAGCCACUUGGCACACCCUCGCUGUGAUGGCAUGGUGAACGUCAACUUGAUUAGCUCUGGCCAGGUCUGUGAGGCAUUUCCAGGAGUGACUGACUGAGAGGAUAGAGAAGCCCCUGACUGGGUGUCACUGUAUCUGUCCCAGAUACAAAGAGUCCUCGGAAGAAACAAAGUUACUCACCAGCAUUGCUCCAGCUGGUAGAUGUAUCUAUCCCAUCAGCCUCUUCCUUGGCCUUCCAACUUGGACUAAAACCCACCUUGGGCAGACCAGAACUGCCAAGGCGGCUGACCUCAUGGACAGAGGAGCGCUGAGCCUCCGAGUGUGCAGGCAGAAGCCGCUGGGUUGUCAUGUAAGCCAUUCUGGAAACCCCUUUGUGAUGGAUAUUCAUUGUAUGGGUUCUGUUCCUCCAGAGAAGCAGACCAGCGUGGGUAGGGUUUUGCCCACAGUUCUUGAAGCUGACUAGUAAAUGGGAAAAUGGUGUCCUCAAUAAGAAAAGCAGGAAAAAUGUUGAUGUGGGCUUCCUCACACAAGGGUAAUGAAAGAGGUGUGGAGUGAGAAUUCUGGAAUUUUGUUUUGUUUUUGUUUUUUUUUGUUUUUUGUUUUUUUUUUUUUAAAGCACAGAAAUAUUAUAAGAAUGUGCUUUCAUUUAAUCCCGGGUGUGGGAUGUGGGGCUGCUUCGGAUGGUUCGCAGCAGCUGAUGAUGAUUUGCCUUGUGCUCUAGCAGAAGCGUGGUUUUGCCAGCUGCAGAUGGUUUCUACGAUUGUGUGACGUUCUGAGGGACUUAGAGGCAGGAUUGCUGGUUGGUGGUUGGUGGUUUGUUACUUAGAUCAGGGGACUUGGUUCCAGUUUGUUAUUAGUUGUGCUCAAAGGAGAAACAAGAAGAAGUAAAUCAGAUUCAGGGAUCUCUCUCUCCCCCGUCUUUCCCUUAUCUGGUAGGGAUGAAAAUAGGGGAGACAGAGGUGGUAAAAAGAAGAACCCAUAAAGUAGCAAAGACGGGCUACAGAGGCGAGCAGGGAUAUGGCCUGUGAAAGCAAUAGUCUAAGGGUGUCACAGGUCUGGAGGAAAGUGGCUUAUGGGGAGAACCUGCUCAAGGGCCUGCAUGCCUCCAAAGGAAAAACAUCAGCGGAAAAGUUACUUUUCAAAUCUAGAUUUUCUCUUCCUUCUUUCCUUCCUUCCUCCCUUCCUCCCUCCCUUCCUUCCUUCUUCCCUUCCUCCCUUCUUUCCUUCCUCCCUCCCUCCCUCUUUCUCUUUCUUGCUUGCUUGCUUGCUUUCAGCAGGUAGGUUCCUGUACUUUCCCUCAAAUAACUCUGCCUUAUAUCUUAGACACUCCCUGGCCAUCUUUGCUUUGGGAGAGCAGAGCCAAAGCAGUGGGUGUGGGGUGUGGGAGGAGUUGGCUGAAUUAUCCUCACACUUGGCUCAAUGUCUACCUUCAUUUUGCUAAUAAACACCAUGUCCUUCAUCAGACCGUUUUUCAGGGAGUCACAGCCCGCAGCUGGUGGCCUGACAAAGAGCUAGAAGCAGCUGCUGAACAGGCCUGGGUGGUUUCUGUCGGGUCAGGAGGAAGAAGCCUCGUGCUGGCAGAAUCCUUCUGGACAACCCUUCCUUUCCUCUCCUCUUGGCAGACGGAAGCCGAGCCACGGGGAAGGUGCAAAGCGGUGAGGGUUGAACAAACCUCCAGCUUGUGCUUGGCUUGUUGGCUCCUCCGAAGCGGAGGCUGAAUCCCACAGCACCCAGUGUCCACCCUGAGUGACAGGCUCCAGGGCCAGAUUUCUGAUGCAGAGCCCCAAGGCGGGCAUGUUAAGGACAUUAAUGGCAGAGGAAGCCUGGGAGCCUCUGAGAGGGACACAAGCCAACAGAACAGAAGGCAGAGCUACAGAAUUGACCCAAAAAAAGGAGGUCUCUUCUGGCUGCGGCCGCCAAGUCUAGGGUUUUCCCAGCCGACGUGCACCUUCAGGAAUGCCUUCCUCUUUCAUAAUAAACUGAACUGCUUUCCCUGCUCCCUGGAAUAACAUGGAAAUUCUCACAGAUGCCCAGGACCGUGACCCGAGGACAGUGAUGGGGCUAGCUGGGUUUGUGAAGCCGGAAGAGCUGAGUGAGGAUGUUGGAGGUGGGGCCUCAGCUCUUGCUAACCUGGGUGUUUGCUCAGGAUGCACUCCAGCCCCUCCAGUCACAGGAGAUGACUCCUCCUUCAUGCUCACCAGGAUGAGCCCUGCCUGGCUCCAGGCCUGUGCCCUGGUAUCAGUGACUCCCCUCUGACCAGUGUCUGUGCUUGGUAAAUGGAGAGGCUGCAAGUCUCCCAGGGGACCUCAGGGUGAGGGUGUUCCUGAGGCAGGAACGCUCAGAUGCCAGGAGUCCAGAGGGAGUGAGCGGUGUAUCAGUGAAAGCUGCUGAGCAGGUGUUUGCACUUCAGUUACCCAUGCACCCCAUUCCCACUUCCUCACACGCUCUCCCUCCCUCUCCCUCCCUCUCCCUCCCUUCUUCCUUCUCUUCCUCCCUUCCUCCCUCUCUUUCUCCCACUCUCUUCCUUCUCCCUCCCUCCGUUUCUCUCUCUCCCCCUCCCUCCCUCCCUCUCUCUCAGGUAAAACCAUUUUGGUCCAUUGAGGAGAGGGUGGCCUCCCACAUGAGACUGACCUCUGCCCGUGUGGAAUGUGAUUCUUGGGUCCAUGGACUCCACUGCCUUUCAGCAGUGACUGGUGAACGGAGCCGUGGGGGCAAGAAUGCAAGGAUCGCUAUGAAGACCUGAAUCUAUUUUGCACUUCCGAAGCUUCCCUACAGCAAAACUGUGCUUGGUUGGAAGGUCAAGGCUGCAGAGCCAGGAUGUGCCUGCCCAAGCACCAAGAGUGUUCAGCAGAGCUAAGAGCGGUUAGCAGAUCUAAGAGCACUCAGCAGAGUUAAGGCUUAAUUUUAGCCCAAGGGCCCAUCACUGCUCCCUGUGUUUGCCUGGGUCAAUGUUAGAUGCUCCCCGCCCCCAAAAGCAGGGUAUCCCUGUGUAUUCCUGGGUACCUGCAUGUCUGUGUAUCUGUGUAGCCCUGGCUGUCCUGGAACUCACUCUGUAGACCAGGCUGGCCUGGAACUCAGAGAUCCACCUGCCUCCCUCCCCUGUGCUGGGAUUAAAGGUGUGUGCUACCACACCUGGCCCAGGGUUAGAGGUCCCUGUGUCCACCUUUCUGUGCUGUAGCACAGUGGGCCUCACACUCGGGGCAAAGGAGGGCGCCUGGGGCAAAGCUGUUGCUUCUGGAUUGAACGUGACCACCACCAUCAAGGAUGAUGGACUGACACAGCAGUGAGGCCUCAGCAGCCAAGACAAUGAAAUAAAUUAACUCCAGGUCCAAGGCAAUGGUGAGGGGCUGUUGGCACCCCCUCCUGGGACUGUGCUGGCAGCUCUCUCUGACGGCCGAGGGCCCACUUGCUCUUGCCCUAGCUGCACCUGAUCAUGAGGGCAUGAUACUGGGCACGAAGGGCUGGCCAAAGGCGGGUGCCUGGGUGUGUAGCCCCGUGCUGGGGUGGGCUCCCUGGUGGUGUGGCCGCUCUCAAGUCAGAGGUGCUCCUGUGAGUAAGCUCAUUGGCUCACCGGGCUGAGCUUGACCGGAGCCCUUCCUUCAAUUGGCCAGCGCCCUAUCUGGGAGGAAGGGGCAUUUCCUUAAAUGUCCCUAGGGAAAGUUGGUCAGCGAGCUCUGGGUGCGCAGUCCGUAUUGUCACUGCAGCCUCGGACAGUCCUCAGGGCUGAAGUGAGAGCUUCAGGGCUGCUUUCAGGGAACGUCACUCUUGCCCUGCACAGCCAGCACAGCCGCCUUUACCCACGGUCCUCUCAGCUCUGUGCAGCCCCAGCAAGCCCACAGCAGACGCUGCAUAGAGGGGGACAGCGACAUCUCGGCUGCUGGUGCUCCCAGACUGGCUCUCUAGCUUGGCAUUGGCCAUCCAUGCCCCUGGCUCCUGCUUGGCCACUGGGAAAUUCCAGAGUAAUCUUAAAGGAUUGUUGCUGCUUCUAAGGAGACAGAAACACAGGCGCUCAACCUGACGAUACUUAAAAGUCUAGGCGAAUCCAGGUGCCCUCGCUUUGAUCAAUUAUCUUCUGUUAGGUAGGUGGAGGUCCCUGCAUGUGCUAGCCCACCUAUGCUGAGAGGCCCUGCCUUCCCAGAGCAAGCUGCUCUGUCGGUGCCCUGCUGUGCACCUUCCCCACCCGCUGGCCCAGCGUGAUGCUGCAGAACAGGCCUUGAAAUGGGCACCAUCGGAGCCAGGAAGCUGUGGGCUCCACCACUCAGAGCACGGACACUCUGGCUGACAUGGGGACGUAAGUGUUCACCAAGCAGAAGUUGUCUUGAAGCUCCCAAGCACCAGAGGCUCUCCUGCCUCUUCCCAGGCCCUCGUCACGGCCAGCCGUUAAAUAAACAUGGCUGUCCUGCAGCAGAGGUGCCUUAUCAGCUUGCAUGGAUUCUCCUUUUCCUAUUCCUACUCUUAAAACUUUAAUACAUGCUCUCGGUCAUGGCGUAAUCUUGCCAUAUUCCAUCAGGCAUCAGCAGAGAACCCUCACAGAGCACACUCGGCUUGCAAAGCCCAGUUUCCAGUGAGAGGCUGUCAGGGAGUAUGGAGAGUCCCUCGGCCUCUGCUUCCUGGCCCAUUAGCAGGAUCCUAACCCUACUCCCCACCCUCAGUUCAUCUCCCAGAAGAAGAAACAUUAGUCUAAGAAAUGAUUCUUUCAUGCCUGGUGCUGUCAACCUAGCCAAAAGCUCAGGCCCGGAGGUCACAGCUCUAGGAAAGAGCUUACUACUGUCGUUUUGCUAAAUGGCAUGCUGUCAAACUGCCUUCUAAAUGUUUAUUCUUAUACUCGUAAGUUAGUAAUGGCCUCAAGCUUAGCCAGAGAACUCAUGCCUGUGGUGGUCAGCAGUUAGCACAGACUGAGAACUGUCAAAGUGCUGAGAAUACGUGACUAUUGAGAGCUCAGUCUUACACUGGACGUCACUGUCAUGCCCCACCUACCCCGUGCUCCACACACACAACAUCGCCAGAGCUCAGGGAACAUUGCAGAAGAGGGGACAAGAGUAUACGAUCAGGAGGGUGGGGAAGAGAAGUGUGGACUGCUGACUUCUGGGCAUUCAAGGUCAUUGUUCCCUUGAACUCACUGCAGCUUUGGUCACUUGCACAAAAUCAAGGCAGCAAGAUCAGCCAACAUUUUGGACUGAAAAGAAAGAGAGGAAGGAAAAGAGGGAGGGAGGAAGGGAGGAAGAAAGGAAGGAAAGGAGAAAGGGAGGAAGAAAGGAAGAGAGGAAGGGAGGCAGGAAAGAAGAGAAGAAAAGCGACAAAGGUGGAAGGGGGCAUGCUGGGAGUAGCUGGUGGUGAGGACUUGAAUUGUGCAUACAACACAGUGUUAAAUGAUAUUAUCAGAGGCUAAAUGAAAAGUAUUUCAUUUUAAGAAGGGAAAGAUUAGAACCUGUCUUCCAUAAAGUGCCCAGAUGCCUCAGAGGACAGAGUUGCAGAGGCUGCUGUCCUUGAGGAGUACAGCUGUGAUGAUGCGUCACUCUUCUUUGCCACAUUCUGCAGUGCAUGCAAGACCCCAGCGCGCCAAGGAGAGGGCCGCAACGAUAUCCCAGAGGUCCUCCUUGUUAGAAAACCCAGGGCCUCCAGGUAACCAAGGGAACCAGUCCCUAGGCAGAUCUUUCACUGCAGGGACCACCUUGCGCCCUGGCUGUUACCCUAAGUCACUCGUGCUCCUUCCCGAAGCUUGGCCUGCUAUCUCCAGUCAUGGUGUCUCCCUCACCCUUGGUAACCUUUAAAGAUGGCAGAGCUGAGGUCUCUCUUGCCUUUGAAUCUCUUUGUUCAGUGCUGCCGGCUAAUUCCUCUAACAACACUCCUGAAGGACAGUUCUUCCCAGCCCUCCCUAGAAUUUGUCACCUGUUGUCUCCAUCACCAGCUAAAUGUAACGUUAUCUGAGGAGGGCUGGGCAGACAUGCACAGGACUCUAGGAAUGCUCCUUUCUUAACUCUCUGUGGCCCUUUACGGUCUUUGACUCAGUUUCCCCAUCUCUGUCUCUUUCCCUCUCAUGAACCAGACUUCCUGAUCUAGCCUGGUUGGUUUGUGUUGUUGUUUUCCAGGGCCGAGAAUUGAACCCAGUGCCUCAAACAUUCUAGAUUCAGAACUGGACUCCAAAGCCUCCAUUCACAAUUAGCUGUGACACCAGCUGCAAAUAGAUCAGGCUCACCAGCCUCAGUUUCCUCAUCUGGAACACGGCAGACUGGAUUGAUCACCGUCGGCUAAACUCUGCAGCCUUGUCCACCUCUGUGAGUGUUGUUUUUCACUGUGAAGGUGCUGUGCCCUCUCUGCUGACCCCUCUGCUUGUGUGUGUGCGAGAGACCUUUUCUUGAUCUCUCUGCCCCUCUGUCUCUCUGAUUCUGUCUCUUUCUUUCUCUGUGUUGGUCUCGCUUCCACCUUUAGCAGUGCAGUAGGUGAGCCGCUGUCCGCCUCUUCCUGACGCCCACUGUCACCUGUGUCUGCUCUCUGUGCUACUCUUUUCCUCCCAGUGCACCCAGCACACCCGCCCGGCAGAGCAGCAGCCACGAGCAGCCACAGAGACCCUUGCCCAGACACAGCCGCCAUGUGCCCACAGCCAGGAAGAGGCACAGAUGUCUGGGCUAGAUGUUUGUUGAUUCAACUUUGUCAGCCCCAGGAGGAUGUAGGCUUUGUCCCCGGCUCUUUCUGAGUGCGCUGGCCAACAACCCUGGACGGCAUCCGCAGCCAGAUUCACCACCCAAAUGGCAGAGUGGCAACUGCCCUGCCGUCCGCAUGUUUUCAUCCCGUCCCACACGCUCCCACGUUGCUCCCUCCUAACCACAGAGCAACCUGGCAGUUGCGUACUGGACUCCGGCAGCUCAGAUCAUCCCUCUCUGUGGAAGGAACUAGGGCCUCCUGCCUGGUGCAGAGCUGCAGCAAAGAAGAUUAUUUCGUUAAGGAGGAAGAAGUAGACCCGGCCCAGACCCUCCCAGAAGCCCCGGCGGAAUACUGCGUAGAGCCAUCCUAGCUCCUUCCUGUCUGCAGGCCGUGCAAACAGUGCGCAAGACAGAUCAGGUUCCGCCACGCCCAACCCCAGACUCACACUGUCCCACACUCACUGCACCGUGCGGGGCGAGGCUGGGGCAGAGUCAGAUCUGAGCACAUGCGCCCUGCCAGCUGCUCCCUGAAGCGCCACCCUUCAGCCGCUCUGACCUCUCUCCACCCCGAAGGCCACAGUGGUCGUAGAAAACACACCCCCUUGCUGUUCCAUGGCCUCCACGAUGGAUGUGAGCCCCCUGUGGGCCGGUGUCCCGUCCAUCACUGUAGAUUGAGGUGGGCACAGGCUUCUGUCUGCACAGAAGUGCCUGGUGCUGUGCUUCCAGGGUAAAGUGUCCCCUACGGUCAGGUCACAUGCCACCUCAGGCCCGCCAGUCAGCUCAAGGCAAACUCCGGUGAGCUGGUGAGGCCCUGACUGAAAAGAAGUGAAAAGAGGGCUGAGGUAGCUCGGUGGCGGGAUGCUUGCUGGGGGUGUAGAGACGCUGGGUUCUAGCCCCAAAACUGAAACAAUAAAAAUUAAAAACUCACCGCCCUGAACACUUAA
This is a long non-coding RNA of Psammomys obesus (fat sand rat), 12256 nucleotides long. RefSeq lists it as uncharacterized. The record is from RefSeq and is a predicted model, not a curated record. The transcript has 2 exons. Lineage: Eukaryota; Metazoa; Chordata; Mammalia; Rodentia; Muridae.